UUUAACGGCCGCGGUAUCCUAACCGUGCGAAGGUAGCGUAAUCACUUGUCUUUUAAAUGGAGACCUGUAUGAAUGGCAUAACGAGGGCUUAACUGUCUCCUUUUUCCAGUCAAUGAAAUUGAUCUCUCCGUGCAGAAGCGGAGAUAGAAACAUAAGACGAGAAGACCCUAUGGAGCUUUAGACACCAAGGUAGAUCGUGUUAAGCACCUCUAAACAAAGGAUCUAAACCCUAUGAACCCUACCCUAAUGUCUUCGGUUGGGGCGACCGCAGGGAAAUAAAAAACCCCCGCGUGGAACGGAAGUACUCUCCCUACUACCAAGAGCUACCGCUCUAAUAAACAGAACCUCUGACCUAUUAGAUCCGGCAUGCCGAUUAACGAACCAAGUUACCCUAGGGAUAACAGCGCAAUCCUCUUUUAGAGCCCAUAUCGACAAGAGGGUUUACGACCUCGAUGUUGGAUCAGGACAUCCUAAUGGUGCAGCCGCUAUUAAGGGUUCGUUUGUUCAACGAUUAAAGUCCU
RNAcentral lists this ribosomal RNA (521 nucleotides) under Kuhlia rupestris (rock flagtail). Its description in RNAcentral is "partial large subunit ribosomal RNA". It matches the Rfam family "Bacterial large subunit ribosomal RNA", at positions 1923 to 2597 of the family's 2925-position model. The record is from RNAcentral. Lineage: Eukaryota; Metazoa; Chordata; Actinopteri; Centrarchiformes; Kuhliidae.